GUUUUUAUAGUUUAACUUAAAACAUUGGUCUUGUAAACCAAAAAUAAUAAAUAUAAUUUAAAAACU
RNAcentral lists this transfer RNA (66 nucleotides) under Malaza fastuosus. RNAcentral's name for it is "tRNA-Thr". It matches the Rfam family "tRNA". From Rfam's summary of the family: Transfer RNA (tRNA) molecules are approximately 80 nucleotides in length. The record is from RNAcentral. Lineage: Eukaryota; Metazoa; Arthropoda; Insecta; Lepidoptera; Hesperiidae.